GCAAGUCGAACGGGAUCCGGGCUUUCGGGUUUGGUGAGAGUGGCGAACGGGUGAGUAACACGUGAGUAACCUGCCCCCUUCUUUGGGAUAACGUCGGGAAAUCGGCGCUAAUACUGGAUAUUCUUGCUGCAUCGCAUGGUGUGGUUUGGAAAGGGUUUCUGGUGGGGGAUGGGCUCGCGGCCUAUCAGCUUGUUGGUGGGGUGAUGGCCUACCAAGGCUUUGACGGGUAGCCGGCCUGAGAGGGUGUCCGGCCACACUGGGACUGAGACACGGCCCAGACUCCUACGGGAGGCAGCAGUGGGGAAUAUUGCACAAUGGGCGCAAGCCUGAUGCAGCGACGCCGCGUGAGGGAUGACGGCCUUCGGGUUGUAAACCUCUUUCAGUAUGGAACAAGGAUCCUUCUUUUGGGGGGUUUGAGGGUACGUGCAGAAGAAGCGCCGGCUAACUACGUGCCAGCAGCCGCGGUAAUACGUAGGGCGCGAGCGUUGUCCGGAUUUAUUGGGCGUAAAGAGCUCGUAGGCGGUUUGUCGCGUCUGCCGUGAAAUUUCCUGGCUUAACUGGGAGCGUGCGGUGGGUACGGGCAGACUGGAGUGCGGUAGGGGAGACUGGAAUUCCUGGUGUAGCGGUGGAAUGCGCAGAUAUCAGGAGGAACACCGGUGGCGAAGGCGGGUCUCUGGGCCGUUACUGACGCUGAGGAGCGAAAGCAUGGGGAGCGAACAGGAUUAGAUACCCUGGUAGUCCAUGCUGUAAACGUUGGGAACUAGGUGUGGGGUCCAUUUCCACGGAUUCUGCGCCGUAGCUAACGCAUUAAGUUCCCCGCCUGGGGAGUACGGCCGCAAGGCUACAACUCAAGGAAUUGACGGAA
RNAcentral lists this ribosomal RNA (865 nucleotides) under uncultured bacterium. Its description in RNAcentral is "bacterial SSU rRNA". It matches the Rfam family "Bacterial small subunit ribosomal RNA", at positions 57 to 918 of the family's 1533-position model. The record is from RNAcentral.